AGCAGUAGCCACGGUAAUACGUAGGUGGCAAGCGUUAUCCGGAAUUAUUGGGCGUAAAGCGCGCGUAGGCGGUUUUUUAAGUCUGAUGUGAAAGCCCACGGCUCAACCGUGGAGGGUCAUUGGAAACUGGAAAACUUGAGUGCAGAAGAGGAAAGUGGAAUUCCAUGUGUAGCGGUGAAAUGCGCAGAGAUAUGGAGGAACACCAGUGGCGAAGGCGACUUUCUGGUCUGUAACUGACGCUGAUGUGCGAAAGCGUGGGGAGCGAACAGGAUUAGAUACCCCUGUAGUCCCUGUCUCUUAUAC
Molecule: ribosomal RNA, 303 nt
Filed under: uncultured bacterium
Lineage: Bacteria
Description: partial 16S ribosomal RNA
Rfam family: Bacterial small subunit ribosomal RNA
Source: RNAcentral